Long non-coding RNA from Dreissena polymorpha, 1737 nucleotides. RefSeq lists it as uncharacterized. The transcript is spliced from 2 exons. The record is from RefSeq and is a predicted model, not a curated record. Lineage: Eukaryota; Metazoa; Mollusca; Bivalvia; Myida; Dreissenidae.
AAUACCGAAUAAGAUUAGUUUCGAAUUAACUUCUUCAAUGAACCCAAUAUUCUAUAGUUAAUAUUAUCCCUUUACAUAAAUAAACAAUUGUUUAAAAGUUUAAUUGUUCACAACAUGAACGGCCGCGUUUCUUUCGUCGACAACUAUACAUGUCUGUGUGACGCCACUGCUUUCGUCGAUACGUCAUUAAGAAGUUAAAAUUGAAACUGACAUACUCUGGUGGAUGUUUACAUUGUUGAAAUUUAAUAAAUUAAUGGAAUGCACUCGAUUGAAGCUGCUCUGUCAAAUGCUGGACUUCACACAUUCCAUGCAGCAUUCUGCUCAACAACAUUCUGCUCUGCUGAGCUUUGUACUCAACAACGAAGCAAUUCUGGACCUAAAAAGCUUGACCGGGACUGAAACAUUAGCAAUUGUGACUCUGUAAUGUUCAACGUUAGUGGACUGUAAAGAAACUGCAAUUAUUGUGACGAGACUCUGUAUGUCUGUUAGCAAAAAGAAUAUACAGCUUAACAAAUAUCAGGUGUGAAAACAAUGUGAAAGAAUAGUGAAAUUAACAAUUUGCAAUCAGGCAUGUCAAAUGAAUUGUUGAUAUUAAAAAUGAUAGUUCCCAGGCAGCUCUAAACGUUUUUUUUUCUGUAUUUCUAUUACUAGUAUUAAUUCAUAAAAUGUAUGCCACAAUUAAAAAGCACACUCUGUUUAGAGACCAUUGUGUUGUCUCAUUGUGUGAUGAUGACUUUGAGUAAUACAUUGUACAUUAAACAAUAUCUACUAAGUUGUUUUUAAGUAUCAGAUUUCUUGUUUAUUAUAUAAAUGUAUGUUAAUUUUUGCUUAAAUAUAAAUGUGCAUAAUGCAGUGCCAGUAGCACACUUUGCAAUAUUUUAAUUACAAAAGAGUGUGCUGUACACUUGAACUUAUACCUAUAAUUAAUAAUCCUUGCCUAAAAAUUCAUUUGACACACCUGAGACCAUGUUGUGUAUUACCAUUAUUAUUUUGCACAUUAUGCUGACACUUUGAAAAAAUUGCAAAUAAGCGAAAAGCAGAAGUUUAGUCUUGUCAACUGUCUCUGAUUACCACUGAUUACUUACUUUUGAAGACCAUAUAAGAAGCGAAAGUGCAGGAUACGGUAUUCAUUUUAUUUGAUGACUGCUUGUUAUUAUUUCUUCAUAGAAGGCGUACGGGAUGAGUGGAGUAUUUUUUUUGGUUCUACAUCUUUAAAGAAGUCAACUCAUUGACAUUUAGUGCCAAGACUGAGCGUCUUUUUUAACUAAAAAACGCGUGGUAGGAACUUACCGAAUAUAUGCAAACUCAUAACAGUGUGUCUAAUACUACAUGUGUUGAGUGCACAGAAACAAGGGCGAGAAGAUAGGGGUAUAAAUGAACAUACUGAAUGUGUUAUUUUGUUUAUGAGCUUGAACAUACAAAAACUUGACUUUAAUCAAUUGGGAUGUACAUGCAGUUUAAUAAUCGGGUUGUUAUUUAAUAAUCAUAUUCAUGUGGAAACUGCCUCAUUCACAUGCAAUACGCAGCUGCUGUCUAUAUGUUUAAUGCCACAUUCCAUAAUGACUGAAUAUCUUUACUUUCAAAACAUGAAAAUGAAUUAAAUGAAAUGAAAAUAAACAAAAUAAUGUAAUUAAAUUCAGGUGAAAAAUAUUUGAUUAUAUUUUAUUUAAAUAUGGUUUGGUAAAUUAUUUACUGGUAAAACAAUUCUUGUUGAUAACAGUAAAUUCGUGAUAAUAA